GUUAACACUUUGCUAGUCUUCUCUGUUGCAUAGUCAAUAAUCGACCGGUAUCCGGCGAAUAUUCUCCGGCGACAAUUAGCGAUAGGAAGGCAAGGAGAAAAAAUAUUUAAAUUCACCGUGUGUGUCGCGACAAGUGAACGACAACGCGCGAAUUAGCCGAACAAUCGCAAACAGAACGAAUGCAUCUCGAGAGUGCCCGACGCGUGUUCGACUUGGUGAAAAUUCACCGUCGUUGGAGGUGUUUCGCUCUGAAUUCUCAAAUAUUCCUCACGAUACCAGUGCGAUCGCGAAGGCAACAUCCUCGCGCGAAUUAACAGGCGAAAGGUAUGCGGUAAAGUACGGGCACGAAACUGACGUGAAAGCCGCGCUCGGCUCGAUGGCUGCGAACGAACAUUCGUCACGAUGAUCGCCACGGAAGCACAGGCCGUCGCCACUGAACCGAUCGCACCUAUAUAAUCGUUUAGCACCGAUUGAUAAGAAAGACACGCCCUGCGUCACGAUCGUUGCUACACAUCCAGAGCUUUAUCACCGGUCGUCCGCACUAUCUGCACCGACGAAACGGACUCUCUAGCUUUCGUCGAUAGACUCGUAACGGAACGUGGGGCCACCUAGCCGCCCAUCAGACGUUGUUCUUGAUGACUAUAUGUUCUUGCGCACUAUAUAGUUGAAAUUACUCGAAUGGACGCCGUCGUACAAUUAUCGCGCGAAACACAUGCGAGGCUUAAGUGGUUAUUCGCGCGCGAAGACGUCACUCGUACAAAACCCAUAAGAAAGCUCUCUUCGACUUGAACCUGCCUCCAUCCCCACUCAUAAACCAAGCGGUAAAAUGCUGCAAACGGGGCAGUUGCUAAAUGUUUGUCACAUGCAAAUGGGAAAGUGAAGUUAGAUGUUGGAUUGUGGAACUGUUGAAAGUGCAUCUCGCUACAUUGCGCGCCGUCGUCUGGUUUGAAGUAUUCAUUCUGUACCUUCGUCGAGGGACUCUCGUAGCGAAUGAUGAAAUUAAGAGAAAUUAAUAGAAAUCAGCUGCGCGUCAUACGCACUAUUGUCCAUAUGAGAAAGUGUGCCGGACUCUGCGAGCGAACGCGGCGGCAUUCUCGUCUAAUUUACGAUGCAGUUAGCCGCUUGAGGAACAACGCCGCGUCUUAACUCGAUAAAUUCGUCCAACGGUGGAUGACAGUGAUGAUCGUUGUGCCCUUACCUCGCUCUGCGUUUCCAUGGUUGGCGUUAUUGACAAGUUAUAAGGAUGGAGUACUACGGGAAUCACAUCCGUAGCACACCAAAUCUGAAACAAGAGAAAUUACGGACUAGAUAUAGAAGCUUCCAAUACACUGAA
Long non-coding RNA from Harpegnathos saltator (Jerdon's jumping ant), 1333 nucleotides. RefSeq lists it as uncharacterized. The transcript has 5 exons. The record is from RefSeq and is a predicted model, not a curated record. NCBI's taxonomy places the organism in Eukaryota, Metazoa, Arthropoda, Insecta, Hymenoptera, Formicidae.